UACGGAGGAUGCAAGCGUUAUCCGGAAUGAUUGGGCGUAAAGCGUCCGCAGGUGGCUAUGUAAGUCUGCUGUUAAAGAGUCUGGCUCAACCAGAUAAAGGCAGUGGAAACUACAUGGCUAGAGUGCGUUCGGGGCAGAGGGAAUUCCUGGUGUAGCGGUGAAAUGCGUAGAGAUCAGGAAGAACACCGGUGGCGAAGGCACUUUACUGGGCUAUUACUAACACUCAGAGACGAAAGCUAGGGUAGCAAAAUGGG
This 254-nucleotide ribosomal RNA is filed under the name uncultured bacterium. Its description in RNAcentral is "partial 16S ribosomal RNA". It matches the Rfam family "Bacterial small subunit ribosomal RNA", at positions 524 to 777 of the family's 1533-position model. The record is from RNAcentral.